Molecule: ribosomal RNA, 787 nt
Filed under: uncultured Mycobacterium sp.
Lineage: Bacteria; Bacillati; Actinomycetota; Actinomycetes; Mycobacteriales; Mycobacteriaceae
Description: bacterial SSU rRNA
Rfam family: Bacterial small subunit ribosomal RNA
Source: RNAcentral
GAGCUCGUAGGUGGUUUGUCGCGUUGUUCGUGAAAUCUCACGGCUUAACUGUGAGCGUGCGGGCGAUACGGGCAGACUUGAGUACUGCAGGGGAGACUGGAAUUCCUGGUGUAGCGGUGGAAUGCGCAGAUAUCAGGAGGAACACCGGUGGCGAAGGCGGGUCUCUGGGCAGUAACUGACGCUGAGGAGCGAAAGCGUGGGGAGCGAACAGGAUUAGAUACCCUGGUAGUCCACGCCGUAAACGGUGGGUACUAGGUGUGGGUUUCCUUCCUUGGGAUCCGUGCCGUAGCUAACGCAUUGAGUACCCCGCCUGGGGAGUACGGCCGCAAGGCUAAAACUCAAAGAAAUUGACGGGGGCCCGCACAAGCGGCGGAGCAUGUGGAUUAAUUCGAUGCAACGCGAAGAACCUUACCUGGGUUUGACAUGCACAGGACGCCGGCAGAGAUGUCGGUUCCCUUGUGGCCUGUGUGCAGGUGGUGCAUGGCUGUCGUCAGCUCGUGUCGUGAGAUGUUGGGUUAAGUCCCGCAACGAGCGCAACCCUUGUCUCAUGUUGCCAGCGGGUAAUGCCGGGGACUCGUGAGAGACUGCCGGGGUCAACUCGGAGGAAGGUGGGGAUGACGUCAAGUCAUCAUGCCCCUUAUGUCCAGGGCUUCACACGUGCUACAAUGGCCGGUACAAAGGGCUGCGAUGCCGCGAGGUUAAGCGAAUCCUUUUAAAGCCGGUCUCAGUUCGGAUCGGGGUCUGCAACUCGACCCCGUGAAGUCGGAGUCGCUAGUAAUCGCAGAUC